UACGGGGGGGGCAAGCGUUGUUCGGAAUUACUGGGCGUAAAGGGCUCGUAGGUGGCCAACUAAGUCAGACGUGAAAUCCCCCGGCUUAACCGGGGAACUGCGUCUGAUACUGGAUGGCUUGAGUUCGGGAGAGGGAUGCGGAAUUCCAGGUGUAGCGGUGAAAUGCGUAGAUAUCUGGAGGAACACCGGUGGCGAAGGCGGCAUCCUGGACCGAUACUGACGCUGAGGAGCGAAAGCGUGGGGAGCAAACAGG
This 253-nucleotide ribosomal RNA is filed under the name uncultured bacterium. Its description in RNAcentral is "partial 16S ribosomal RNA". It matches the Rfam family "Bacterial small subunit ribosomal RNA", at positions 524 to 776 of the family's 1533-position model. The record is from RNAcentral.